AUUGACCUCUUUUCCUUGCUCCACACAGAGCUGGCCCCCGAGCACGGCCCGCGCCCGGGGGACACGCUGGACCAGUGGGUCUCAGCCUUCCUGGUGUACGCCAGCGUGCUGUGCGAGAAGCACCCGGCGCGCUGCGGAGCCAUGUUCAAGUACCUGGACACCAUCCGCAAGCUGCACGCCACCUACGGGGGCACCUCCUGGAUGAACUACGACGAGGACUUUAGGCGGCGGGCGGCGAAGAACCCCUCUCUGCCCUGGGGUGACGUCGACCUGGACCUGUGGAUGAAGUGGAUGGCGCCGCUCAAGUCGCUUGUCCCCAGGCACUCGCGGAUUGAGGGCGAGACACAGCCCUCGCCGGCCCCGCCGCCCCCGCCGGCGCAGAGCCCCAAGCAGGAGGAGAAAAGCCAGACUCCAUGAAAGCAGAAGGCCAGUUGGGAUGGCAGUCAGACUAAUUGGCCUGACUCCGUUGGUGUUUAAGUGGAGCUCUGGUAUUCUAGUGCAUUCUUUUACCUCUGCUUCUGUUGCGUUGCAAGCUGUGCUAGAGAAGACGUAGGAAAUUCAUUUUACCCAAUCAGCAAUUAUAACAAUGGACUACAAACCUGCAGAGCAAGCCAGUUUGCUGGAAAACAGGAAUUCCUGCAGCGCAGCACUUGUCACAGACUAUCCAAAGAGGGCAAAGAUUCAGGAAGGUGAAUAAAUUGAACAUUGGUUGAAUGAGGUCA
RNAcentral lists this long non-coding RNA (722 nucleotides) under Manacus vitellinus (golden-collared manakin). RNAcentral's name for it is "lncRNA (ENSMVIG00005015641.1)". Lineage: Eukaryota; Metazoa; Chordata; Aves; Passeriformes; Pipridae. The record is from RNAcentral.